GGCUCUCUGUUUUAUGUAUAUAGAGAGUCUGACCUGCCCAGUGAAUAAUUUUUUAACGGCCGCGGUACUCUGACCGUGCGAAGGUAGCAUAAUCAUUUGUCUUAUAAUUGAAGUCUAGUAUGAAUGGUUUGACAAGAGUGUAGCUGUCUCUUUUUAAUUUUUUAGAAUUUUAUUUUUAAGUUAAAAAGCUUAAAUAGUAUUAAAAGACAAGAAGACCCUAUCGAGCUUUAAAAAAUUUUAUGGAUAUAAGAUAUUAAUAUAAAGUUUACUAUAAAGUAUUUUGGUUGGGGCGACUAAGGAACAUAAAAAGCUUCCUUGAAUUAUUUUUACUUACGGGUAAUGAUCCAAUUUUUUGAUUAAAGAAAUUAGUUACCGUAGGGAUAACAGCAUUAUCUUUUUUGAGAGUUCAUAUCGAAAAAAAGGAUUGUGACCUCGAUGUUGGACCAGAAUUUCCUAAAGAUGUAGCAGUCUUUAAGGGUUGGUCUGUUCGACCAUUAAAAUUCU
Molecule: ribosomal RNA, 504 nt
Filed under: cf. Niveria sp. DH-2009
Lineage: Eukaryota; Metazoa; Mollusca; Gastropoda; Littorinimorpha; Triviidae
Description: partial 16S ribosomal RNA
Rfam family: Bacterial large subunit ribosomal RNA
Source: RNAcentral